RNAcentral lists this ribosomal RNA (492 nucleotides) under uncultured bacterium. Its description in RNAcentral is "partial 16S ribosomal RNA". It matches the Rfam family "Bacterial small subunit ribosomal RNA", at positions 29 to 507 of the family's 1533-position model. The record is from RNAcentral.
AGUGAACGCUGGCGGUAGGCCUAACACAUGCGAGUCGAACGGCAGCACAGUAAGAGCUUGCUCUUACGGGUGGCGAGUGGCGGACGGGUGAGGAAUACAUCGGAAUCUACUUUUUCGUGGGGGAUAACGUAGGGAAACUUACGCUAAUACCGCAUACGACCUACGGGUGAAAGCAGGGGAUCUUCGGACCUUGCGCGAUUGAAUGAGCCGAUGUCGGAUUAGCUAGUUGGCGGGGUAAAGGCCCACCAAGGCGACGAUCCGUAGCUGGUCUGAGAGGAUGAUUAGCCACACUGGGAAUGAGACACGGUCCAGAAUCCUACGGGAGGCAGCAGUGGGGAAUAUUGGAAAAUGGGCGCAAGCCUGAUCCAGCCAUAACGCGUGGGUGAAGAAGGCCUUCGGGUUGUAAAGCCCUUUUGUUGGGAAAGAAAAGCAGCAGGUUAAUACCCCGCUGUUCUGACGGUACUCAAAGAAUAAGCACCGGCUAACUUCGUG